UCACCUACCCGAUGAGCCUGCAACCUUGGAGAGCCCAGUGCCCACCUUCCCCAGACCCUCCCACUACCAGCCCCCUCACUACUACCUGCAAAGAAGCAGCUGAAAGUUGCUGGGACCGAGGCUCCCGGCUGUGCAGACUGGGGAUCAGUGGGCAAGGCAGCUGAAUGGAUGAGCCUGGGUUUCUGGGCUGAGAUGCUGGAAAUAGGGAUAGGAAAGUCAUCAGCUUACGGGUGGGAAUUAAAGCUGUGAGGACUGGGAGUCAGAGGGAUCCCAGGAUGGUCAGGAGGGGGGAAGGUAGGGGAGGACCCUGCCCCCAGGGGCCCCCACCUCUAGCCCAGGAAGGAUGACAGGUGACGCUGGGGAGUUGCAGUACGUGCAGAAAGAGUUCUGAAACUUGCCUUCUCCUUUCUUUCUCCUGCAGGCUUGUGGGCUCUCCUGGCAGUGGACCUCUUGCCGCAGUGAACUCGGCCACUGAGACCCCGCAGCAGUGGACCUUGCUCACCCUCCAUUUGCCAUCUUACCCCUGACGCCUGCCUCACCUGCUCCACAUGCUGGGUGUGGAGGCCAGCUGCCUGCCUGCAUCGCUCCCUGCAAGUGCCCUUUCAGAGGCCAGCCUGCUGCCCCCUCCUGCAAGCCCCUCUGCCCUUCUGGAGCAUUCCUCUGUCUGGCUGUCUCUGUCCCACUGGCCGACUGGUCCCCUCCCAGCAUCUUCAGUCCUGCCUUCCUCUCCAAUGGAGCUCUGUCCUCUCACCAUCUGCCAGGCCCCUCAGGGGACAAAGGCCCACCCACGUUUGUCCUCUGCCCCCUUCUUCCCUACCCAGACCUGCCCUGUCUUGUCCUUCCAGCUCCCUCCUGUGUCCUGGGAGGCCCCAGAGUCUAGUUCUCACUUGUUUCUCUGCCCGCCAGUCAGAACUUACCACCACGUGGUCUGUCUUCACUGCCCUGAAACUGACCUGGGUUUAGAGAGCUUCUCUCCUCCGCGCUCAGCCAGCCUUUCCCCAGGGCAAUUGCUGUCUUGGAAUAUAGGCUGCUCGGAUGAGCACACCGAAAUGACAGGAAAACAGACUCCUGCACUCACUUCAGGAACAACGGCUAAUAUUCGUGGAGUUCUGGGCACUCUCCAGGCUGUGUGUGUUUCCAGGGCUUGGCUUGUAUUCCCUGACUUCAUUUCCAUGGUGUCCUGUUGGGGUAGUGUUUUAAUGAGGCCUUUCUGCAGACCGGGAAGCUGGGCCUCAGAACUGUUAAAUAUCGUAACCAUGAGGUUAGGCAAUAGACCACGUCCAUGACUCUACUCAGGACGUUUGUCAAUUGACCUCAGAGAAUUGUGGGACUCAAGAGGAGAUGACCUUCAAGAGUGUAAACUGUCAGCUACCCAGAUGUUGAUGAGUCCUUUUCAGCUUCAACAGCACAGACAGAGGAGCCAUUUGUGCUGAGUUUUGAGAUGGGCAAUUUUAUAUGUUGGGAAGUGGAUAUUAUCAUUCUUAUUGGAGGGAGUGGGGACACAGAAAGGGAAAAUGCUUUACCUGAGA
Molecule: long non-coding RNA, 1529 nt
Filed under: Capra hircus (goat)
Lineage: Eukaryota; Metazoa; Chordata; Mammalia; Artiodactyla; Bovidae
Description: lncRNA (ENSCHIG00000005587.1)
Source: RNAcentral